Molecule: non-coding RNA, 75 nt
Organism: Betta splendens (Siamese fighting fish)
Lineage: Eukaryota; Metazoa; Chordata; Actinopteri; Anabantiformes; Osphronemidae
Source: the annotation of a RefSeq genome assembly
GUUAAAAGGGCAAAGCGGGGCUUAUUGCAAAAAAUCUAACCCCUUUACACAGGGGUUCAAAUCCUCUUCUUAACU